GCGCCCGUAGCUCAGUCGAAUAGAGCGUUGGCCUCCGGAGCCAAAGGUCACAGGUUUGAGUCCUGUCGGGCGCGCCA
This 77-nucleotide transfer RNA is filed under the name Candidatus Thiomargarita nelsonii. RNAcentral describes it as "tRNA-Arg". It matches the Rfam family "tRNA". Rfam says of the family: Transfer RNA (tRNA) molecules are approximately 80 nucleotides in length. Lineage: Bacteria; Pseudomonadati; Pseudomonadota; Gammaproteobacteria; Thiotrichales; Thiotrichaceae. The record is from RNAcentral.